GCGCCACCUAAGAAACUCCAAGCCUACGCCACAUAUUUAAUUUCAAAUAAUUUUUAUGUGACAUCCACAUCUAAGGAAAGUAAUUUCACACCACUUAUUCUAAAAAUUUGGAUCAGAUUUGAUUUGGUUCAAUAUGGAAAGUAAUAUGGUUUAUUAUGAAAAGUGGUUUAGAUUCAUUUUUUUUUUUGAAAGAGUCCCUCUUCACAAGAACUCUUUCCUCUCAUGCGCCAACUUCCUCCAUUCUUAUCCCUUCUUUUUUGUUGCCCUUUUGUGCUUGUUAUCAGGCUCUCCAUGAAAAUUAAAAGGCAAGGGGCGUCCAAGAGUUGGACGCCCCAUGGACUCCUUGUUAGACUAGGUCUUAUGACCUAGUCUACCUUAUAUAAAGUUGCCGCCCCAUAUGAUAAGAAUAAGGAGUCAAAAAUUGUUGGAUUAUUGAUAGAAAAACUAAAGGAGAAAGAGGAUGGCAUGGGUGGUUUGAGGCACCAAUAUCCAUGGAGAAGAGUCUUCUAUCAAGAGAUCAAAAGUUGAUGUCUUGUAGAGAAAGAAAGGUAAGAGAGAAGAUUAUUUUCUCUUAUUAUUUUCCUUUCAGAUUAUUUUCUCUUUAUUUUAUAUUUUUAUAUGAUAAAAAUAUAAGAGAGAAAGAAGGAUGGCAGGGUGGAUUCAUGCUCCAAUGAAUUGGGGCAUGGUGAUCUAAUUUUAGACAUGAUCUGAUCAUAUUCUGAUGAGAGAAGAAGAAGAAAAGAAGGUCUUCUCUUAAGGUUUCUUUUAGAACCUUUGUUCUCCAUAAAUCGUGAGAUUUUUCUAUGAGAAAAAUUAGAUAUCAUAAGAUCUGAAAAUUUAAAAAAUAUCUAAAGAAGAAGGUCUUCUCAUGUCCUAGCAUAGAGAUGUUCUCAGGACAUCAAUCGUUGAUGUACUGAAAGAGAAGAUCUGUCUUCUCUUAGGACCCUUUUCUUUUACAUAUUAUUUCUGAUUUUAGGGAGGUCAAAAGGUUUGACUUCUUUCUUAUUCCUUCUCAUAUUCUUCAUCUUUUAGAAUAUUCAAGAGAUUCAAAGAAUAUUUUUAGAUUAACCAUCCGGAGGAAUCUGCAAGAAGCUAGCACUUCAAGCGGAUCUUCAUUUGACGUACCUCUGAUUUUAUUGCAGCCUCUUGUGGAUCACCUCUAAAGGCCAGAUGCGUGUGCAGCUCCAAAGGCAAUAAAAGAAAUCAACUAUGGAGUUCUCAAACCGCAUAAAAGUAAGAGAUCUGAUCUCUUCUCUUAUCUAGAUGUGAUCCAGGUUUUAGAUCUAAAACUAUUUUAGAUCUAGGGUAUUGAUUUGAUCAAUACCAAAGUUUUUAUUUUUUGAUUUAUAAAUAUAAUAUGACAUAUUAUAGAUCUUAAUUAUAGAGUUUAGUAAUCUGAUUAUAUACAUUUAUAUAUUAAAUUAUUUAAUUUAAAUAUUCCUCUGCGUUCUAUUUUAAAAUUAUUUUGAAAUUCAUGCAUGAAACCUUGCACCUUUUCCAACAGUGGUAUCAGAGCCAGGUUCUUUUAUAACAUGUUCAUAAUUAUAUUAAAAUAAAUUUGAAAAAUAAAAUAAUGAUCGCACGAACUAUAGGUUGUCCUGCUGUAAGAUUUACUUCUUACAGUGCAAAGGUUAUCCUGGUACAUUACGAUCUAAAAAAUUUAAAAGAGUUUAAAUAAAUCUUGUCAUGAAUGUUUUAGAUUAGGUCUAUUUUAUUUCAUAAAAUUUUAUGUAAUAUACAUAGAUUAAAAUCAGU
RNAcentral lists this long non-coding RNA (1755 nucleotides) under Elaeis guineensis (African oil palm). RNAcentral's name for it is "long non-coding RNA (EGUI_LNC079623)". Lineage: Eukaryota; Viridiplantae; Streptophyta; Magnoliopsida; Arecales; Arecaceae. The record is from RNAcentral.